UGAAUACGAGAUGCUACGGCGUCGAAGCAGUCUAUGUCAUACUUCCAAGAAAAGCUUGCACUGUCAUAAACAAAUAAUGCCUGUACCAUAACCGACACAGGUGGGUAGGUAGAGUAUACUAAGGGGCGCGAGAUAACUCUCUCUAAGGAACUCGGCAAAAUGACUCCGUAACUUCGGGAGAAGGAGUGCCUUAUUUAUAAGGUUGCAAUAACAAGAUCCAAGCAACUGUUUACCAAAAACACAGGUCUCCGCUAAGUCGUAAGACGAUGUAUGGGGGCUGACGCCUGCCCAGUGCCAGAAGGUUAAAGAAGUUGGCUAGCAUCCGCGAAGCUGAUAACUGAAGCCCUGGUGAACGGCGGCCGUAACUAUAACGGUCCUAAGGUAGCGAAAUUCCUUGUCGGGUAAGUUCCGACCCGCACGAAAGGCGUAAUGAUUUGGAUACUGUCUCGGAGAGGGGCUCGGUGAAAUAGACUUGUCUGUGAAGAUGCGGACUACCUGCACCAGGACAGAAAGACCCUAUGAAGCUUUACUGUAACCUGAAAUUGAAAUUGGACUUUACUUGCGCAGUAUAGGUGGGAGGCGUUGAGAAUAUUCUUGCGGGAUUAUUGGAGCCAUCAGUGAGAUACCACUCUUGUAAUGUUAGAUUUCUAACUUUGUAUCAUUAUCUGGUCAAAGAACAGUUUCAGGCGGGCAGUUUGAUUGGGGCGGUCGCCUCCUAAACGGUAACGGAGGCGCACAAAGGUUUCCUCUGAACGGGUAGAAAUCGUAUCUAGAGUGUAAAGGCAUAAGGAAGCUUGACUGUGAGACCUACAAGUCGAGCAGGGACGAAAGUCGGUCUUAGUGAUCUGACGGAGCUGAGUGGAAAGGCCGUCACUCAACGGAUAAAAGUUACUCUAGGAUAACAGGCUGAUCUCCCCCAAGAGUUCACAUCGACGGGGAGGUUUGGCACCUCGAUGUCGGCUCAUCGCAUCCUGGGGCGGUAGUACGUCCCAAGGGUUGGGCUGUUCGCCCAUGAAAGCGGUACGCGAGCUGGGUUCAGAACGUCGUGAGACAGUUCGGUCCAUAUCCGGUGUAGGCGUUAGAAUAUUGAGAGGAGCCUUCUUUAGUACGAGAGGACCGAGAAGGACAUACCUCUGGUGUACCAGUUAUCGUGCCAACGGUAAACGCUGGGUAGCUAUGUGUGGAGUGGAUAACCGCUGAAAGCAUCUAAGUGGGAAGCCCACCUCAAGAUAAGUAUUCUCAUCAU
This 1246-nucleotide ribosomal RNA is filed under the name metagenome. RNAcentral's name for it is "bacterial LSU rRNA". It matches the Rfam family "Bacterial large subunit ribosomal RNA", at positions 1564 to 2820 of the family's 2925-position model. The record is from RNAcentral.